GAUGAACGCUGGCGGCGUGCUUAACACAUGCAAGUCGAACGGAAAGGCCCAAGCUUGCUUGGGUACUCGAGUGGCGAACGGGUGAGUAACACGUGGGUGACCUGCCCUGCACUUCGGGAGAAGCCUGGGAAACUGGGUCUAAUACCGGAUAGGACCACAUCUUGGAUGGUGUGGUGGAAAGUUUUUCGGCGUGGGGUGAGCUCGCGGCCUAUCAGCUUGUUGGUGGGGUGAUGGCCUACCAAGGCGUGGACGGGAAGCCGGCCUGUGGUGGUGAACGGCCACAUUGGGACUGAGAGGCGGCCCAGGUGCCGAAGGGAGGAAGCAGGGGGGAAGAUUGAUCCAGGGGUGCAAGCCGGAUGCAGCGGCGCCGCGGGGGGGAAGACGGCCUUCGUGUGGAAGACGACUUUCGCUAGGGACCAAGCGUUAUGUGACGGUACCUGGAGAAGAAGCACCGGCUAACUACGUG
This 466-nucleotide ribosomal RNA is filed under the name uncultured bacterium. RNAcentral describes it as "partial 16S ribosomal RNA". It matches the Rfam family "Bacterial small subunit ribosomal RNA", at positions 28 to 507 of the family's 1533-position model. The record is from RNAcentral.